This 388-nucleotide ribosomal RNA is filed under the name Diacronema sp. Its description in RNAcentral is "partial small subunit ribosomal RNA". It matches the Rfam family "Eukaryotic small subunit ribosomal RNA", at positions 582 to 975 of the family's 1831-position model. The record is from RNAcentral. Lineage: Eukaryota; Haptophyta; Pavlovophyceae; Pavlovales; Pavlovaceae.
AUUCCAGCUCCUAUAGCGUAUAUUAAAGUUGUUGCAGUUAAAAAGCUCGUAGUCGGAUUUCGGGUCGAUCUGUCCGGUCUGCCGUUGGGUAUGCACUGGUUUUGGUCGGUCUUUUCGCGUGAGGCUCUGUGCGUCGUUGAUUCGGCGUGCCGGGUGCUCUGCACUUUUACUUUGAGAAAAUCAGAGUGUUCAAAGCAGGCCUUUGCCAUUGUAUGUGUUAGCAUGGGAUAAUGGAAUAGGACCUUGGUGCUAUUUGUUGGUUUCGAACGCCGAGGUAAUGAUUAAUAGGGAUAGUCAGGGGCACUCGUAUUCCGUAGAGAGAGGUGAAAUUCUUAGACCCACGGAAGACGUACUACUGCGAAAGCAUUUGCCAGGGAUGUUUUCAUUA